GUGCUCACUUCGGCAGCACAUAUACUAAAAAUUGGAACAAUACAGAGAAGACUAGCAUGGCCCCUGCUCAAGGAUGACACGCAGAUUCAUGAAGUGUUCCAUAUUAAA
This 108-nucleotide small nuclear RNA is filed under the name Erinaceus europaeus (western European hedgehog). The record is from RNAcentral. Lineage: Eukaryota; Metazoa; Chordata; Mammalia; Eulipotyphla; Erinaceidae.